This 343-nucleotide unclassified non-coding RNA is filed under the name soil metagenome. RNAcentral describes it as "partial contains 5.8S ribosomal RNA, internal transcribed spacer 2, and large subunit ribosomal RNA". The stretch from base 1 to 120 matches the Rfam family "5.8S ribosomal RNA", at positions 35 to 154 of the family's 154-position model. The record is from RNAcentral.
GAUGAAGAACGUAGCGAAAUGCGAUAAGUAAUGUGAAUUGCAGAAUUCAGUGAAUCAUCGAAUCUUUGAACGCACAUUGCGCCCGCUAGUAUUCUGGCGGGCAUGCCUGUCCGAGCGUCAUUUCAACCCUCAAGCCCCCGGGCUUGGUGUUGGGGAUCGGCGAGCCUCCGCGCCCGCCGUCCCCUAAAUCUAGUGGCGUUCUCGCUGUAGCUUCCUCUGCGUAGUAGCACACCUCGCACUGGGAAACAGCGCGGCCACGCCGUUAAACCCCCAACUUCUGAACGUUUGACCUCGGAUCAGGUAGGAAUACCCGCUGAACUUAAGCAUAUCAAUAAGCGGAGGA